UACGUAGGGUGCGAGCGUUGCCCGGAUUUAUUGGGCGUAAAGGGCGCGUAGGUGGUUCUGUGUGCUCCGCGUGAAAUCGCCCGGCUCAACCGGGCGGGGUCGCGGAUGACUACAGGACUGGAGCCUGGGAGGGGAAGCGGAAUUCCCGGUGUAGUGGUGGAAUGACGUAGAUAUCGGGAGGAACACCAGUGGCGAAGGCGGACUUCCUGGACCAGAGCUGACACUGAGGCGCGAAAGCGUGGGAGCGAGUCGG
RNAcentral lists this ribosomal RNA (253 nucleotides) under uncultured bacterium. RNAcentral describes it as "partial 16S ribosomal RNA". It matches the Rfam family "Bacterial small subunit ribosomal RNA", at positions 524 to 776 of the family's 1533-position model. The record is from RNAcentral.